RNAcentral lists this small RNA (29 nucleotides) under Bombyx mori (domestic silkworm). Its description in RNAcentral is "ovarian small RNA-33517". Lineage: Eukaryota; Metazoa; Arthropoda; Insecta; Lepidoptera; Bombycidae. The record is from RNAcentral.
UGCAGGCCGGUCCUCCAGCCUUUGGCACA